This 330-nucleotide long non-coding RNA is filed under the name Hordeum vulgare. RNAcentral describes it as "long non-coding RNA (HVUL_LNC000574)". Lineage: Eukaryota; Viridiplantae; Streptophyta; Magnoliopsida; Poales; Poaceae. The record is from RNAcentral.
UUGUCGUGCUACUCAUGCUAUUACUACUAAAGCUAUAUCCUAGCAAAAUAGUAAACACAUCUGCAAGCACAAACGUUAGUUUAAAGACAACCCUAUGGCUCCUGCCGGUUGCCGUACCAUCGACGUGCAAGUCUAUAUUAUCUAUUACAACAUGAUCAUCUCAUACAUCCAAUAUAUCACGUCACAUCGUUGGCCAUAUCACAUCACAAGCAUACCCUGCAAAAACAAGUUAGACGUCCUCUAAUUUUGUUGUUGCAUGUUUUACGUGGUGACCAAGGGCAUCUAGUAGGAUUGCAUCUUACUUACGCAAACACCACAACGGAGAUAUAU